CCCACUAGCUGUGAGACAUAUCCAUUGCAGUGCCAAAUAAAGAAACUUUUCCAUGAAUUAAUAACAGCAAGACAAUGGUCCGCGUGUUGUAUAUAAUAAAUAUUACACAGGUUUUGCAUAUGUGUAGCCGGUGCAUAUAGACCUAUGAGGAAUUACGUAUGCAUGCUCAAGAACCUAUGUUCGUACAUACAUACACAAAUCAUAUAGAACAAAAGGUAUGCUCCGGUCCGAAAGCAGAGUCGUGCAGCAGAGUUGUGGACAAAAGUGAAGUUCACAAAAGACCUUCAUACGAGAUAGGCCAUUGUUUCAACUCGUAGUUUAGGCCUUGCCGGACUCCUCGCAACCCGGUGGCCUGAAGGCGAUGAAGCUGACGCACUGCACCUGGCGCAGGUUGUCGAAGCCGAUGACACGGACAUAGGCGUCAGGGUACUCCUUCUUGACCUCCUCCACCUCGUUGAGCACCUGUGUGGCGUCGGUGCACCCAAACAUGGGCAGCUUCCACAUUGUCCAGUAUCGACCGUCGUAGUACCCGGGGGAGCUGUUGUGCUCACGGAAGACGAAGCCAACCUUGCUGAACUCGAGGCAGGGCACCCACUUGGAGCGGAUCAGGUAGUCGACCUGCUUCAGGAGGGCUUCCGUGGAGAGGGGUGGCAAGUAAGACAAGGUCUCGAACUUCUUGAUGCCCUCAAUUGGCCACACCUGAAUGAAUAGAAUGCGCACAGAUGCUCAAUACUUGGUGAUAAGUCAAUUAAUUGUACUAACAAUGCUAGAAUAAAUCAGACGGCAUGCCAAAAAUUGCUCCUUAUGGGCAGCUCUCAUAUGCAUUGCUGGGUUGUUCACAAUCAAUAAAGCUUUGGUUGUACUUAGUUCUAGUAUAUGGGUCCUAUUUCGAGGAUGGGUUUGGUUAUAUACAUCGGGGAUGUUCUGUAAGUGAAUUACUUGCACUGACAAAGAAACUCAUAUCAAUUAGUGCCCGACAUACCUGCAUGCACCUGAUCCUUCCGCCAUUGCUGACGCUGCCGAGGCUGGCGCUGGAGCGGCGGCUGACGGGGAGACCGGCUGUGGACUUGAGCCCCUGGAAGGGUGCAACGGUGGUAGCCGACGAAGCCAUCACGGCGGGGGCCAUGGUAUUCUAUUAACUGGAGGAGAGGAGGAUGCCGGCUACAGUUGAGGCCCCCAUUGCCGGGUCACCACGCUAUAUAUAGACUCGUUUCUUUGGUACAGAUGUGGUAGCGGUGGCUGACGUUCGCUGGUUGCCUCGUUUCCUUAUCUUCUCCGGAUCAGUGGAAGAAGCAUUGCCGUCGGAUACAUUGUGUGUGCUGGAAAUUUCAGUCCUUCAUGUCAUUAGGUGGCUGCCACACAACCUUUUUUCUAGCUUUGCUUGUUUUUGGGUGAGUUCCUUGAUAACAAAUUGUCUGAGGAUGCGAGUGAGUUGGGUGGGCAAAAUAUUUUCAUUUUAUCAUAAAAUUUGCUGGCUCACUCUUGAAACUAUGCUCAUAGGCGUAUAGUGUGCGUGUGUGCAAUCAUAGAGGGUGGUGUACAUACGUGUAUGUGAAUGUCUGCAUUUGUACAAUGUUUUUCAAAAUAAAAUAUAUGUUUUCUUGGUAGAAUUAACUGAACUAGCAUAGUAAAAUAUAUGUUUCCCCCCUCCAUAUCCGUCGAUGUGCCUAUGGAUUCGCCUCCCCUUGGAGGGAAGGGAAUUCUCUGUAAAGAAGUAGUGAUCUAAACGCUUUUAUAUUUCUUUACGGAGGGAGUAGGAUUUUAGUUCUUGUAGGAGUGGCGCUUGGACAGAUGGCGGCCCUUCUUCUUCGAGUCAAUCUUCCGGGAUCCGGUCGUCUUCAAGCUCCUCGGGCAUAUGCAAAACGAGAUUUGGUGUCAGGUUCUUCAGACCGAUUCAGGGAUUCGACGACGACGACUACGGCUCCAGAGCGUUCAUUCUUAGGGGCGUGUGCAUGAAGACUUCCUCGCUGCCAUCGACAAGGUCUGGCUAGAACCAGUGUGGGAGCAAAGACAACGGCUCGUUUUGACGGAGGCAAUGGUCGUUCGGUGUCGUUCGGUGGUCCAUAGACCUAGAUGUACUUUUUACUAUGUUUGAGGUGCUUUCUACUUUCGGUGAAUCUUUUCUUUUAGGGCAGGUGAUCUGCCUUUUCAUUGAUGUUUAGGAAGGUAUAGGGGAGGGCUAAAGUGCCAAAGGAAAGAAGAAAAACAUAAAAAAAAACAGAAAAGAGAUCCAGUUGCACAAAUCACUGAUGUACAAAGCGCUAGCCUAAGGCACGACUUUCGGUGAAUCUUUAUAUUAGAUCUUAUUCUUUACGCAAAAAAAAAAGAAAUUGAACUAGGAGGUAAAAGCACUAGAGGUCCUAGAACUUGGCUAACAUGUGAUGGUUUAGUCCUAAAACUUGCAAAAGUGAACUAUGUAGUCCUAUAACUUGUACACAACCUGCAAAUUUAGUCCAAAGCCAAUCAGAGGCGGCCAAGUGGCGCCAGCUGGCUGUGUUUCAUUUUGCAUAUACCCCCUUUUUUUGUCAAAUUAACCCGCAAGUACUAGUAAUACACGGGGCUAGCAGCAGCAGUAGGGCUAGCUAGUGCGGGCUUUGAGAAUUGAGAUUGGUUCAUCAUGUGAAACUGCAAUCUCCCUUCCAAUCAAACACAUUAAGAUACGCAGGUUGGGCGCUUCCUAGGCUAUGCCACGUCGGAUCGCUGGAAGACAAAACAGAUCGCUGCAAAAAAAAGAUUGCUGGGAGAAAAAAUGAUGGUCGGUUGGGCAGCGGCCAAAUAACACAUGCCUCUCGAUCUGCUUUCCCUUCCUCACUAAGAAAUAUCCAAUUCCACACGCAACCUCGUAGUCGCAUCGCUCUCCUCGACAACUGCUACGCGUCCAUGCGCCGCCACCGCCGCCACUUCUCCCGCGCCUUCUCCUCCCAGUUCCUCUCUGCCCUACGCCACCCCCGCCUCCUUGACCACCUAUCUCCUCCUCUGGGAGCACUACUUUCAGUUUUCCAUUCCAAUUGGAUGGUCUACAACAUUGAUCCAUAUUUUGUAGGAACACUUAUAUUGCUGAACUGAACUUGAUAUCAAAUCAGUGUUUAGUUUAUAAAUAAUUUCUAUAAGUGAUACAUCUUUCAGUGUAAAUGCAUUUUUUCUCAAGACUACUUGGGGAAAAAAUAGCAGACAUCAAAUGAAAUGUAUAAUUUUGUCAUCGGAAAAUCAAAUGAAAGCCACGGAAAGACCCCAAAACAUCAUAUUAAGAUCACCAUUGACUAUCCAAAUCUAAGUCCACCGCAUUCGUUAUAAAGAAAUUCUUUUCCAUGAAACUAAACCACGCCAACACUAAAAUUCAUGAACGAAAGUCAUCCAUAAUAUUAUGUUUCAUUAUAUGAGACGGUAGUUAUUUCGUCAUUUAAAGUGAUGAUAUGGCUCCAUCGUGGUAUUAGAUGUGGCCUUUCCUAUGACGAUGUGGUAUCAUCAUUUUUUUCUAAUCUAAUAAAAAGUCUUACAUAUUGGUCUCACAAUCCGAAAACUCUCCUUUGCACGCACGCGUUGGGACUGGUGAAGCGCUCCGCACAAGAAGUCAGGUUCCGACCGCGCGCUAUAUUCCUUUCCAAACUUUGGCAUGCCGUUUAACUGAGAAUGGUGGCCCCACAUAGUAUCGCAGCCCACUGUCAUGGAACUAAAUGUGUUGGGCUCACCCCACAUGUUACACGCAUUCACGGAAGGGCUAGUUGUGGUGUCAUCUUGGUUUUCACUUCAGUGUGAUUUCUUUGAUUUCACUGAAUUUCAGGAAUUUCAGUAGACACCGAAAUAUUUACCUUUCAAUCAGAAUAUUUCAGUCAUUUCAGUUGUACACAUGAAUUCAAAUAUUUUCAAAAUAUCUUUAAAUAUUGUUUUGAAUUUCAAGUGAAUAUUUUGGUCUUUUGGCCAAAAUGCAAGCUGAAAUUACUGAAAUUCAGUAACUUUGGUAGGUACUGAAACAACCGUAGGGUUUUUGCCUGAAUAUGAAUUUUGUCAUGAAACAUAUAGGGUUUUGACCUCCGAUGUAGGUUCUAUAACAAAAUUGAUAGUUUCGUCAUGGAAGGACCUAUGUUUAUGACAAAAACACAAAACAUCACAGAUAAUUCAUUAUAGAAGGCCAAAACUUUACUAGUAGAAGAUAUCUUGGGACUCGUCAAUUGGAUAUGUAAUUUGCACAUAUUUGUCUAGUCCACACGUUCUCUGGUUUAUUGGAAUUGCUGCAAUACUGUAAAAAAAUAGUAUCUAAUUGCGGUGUAAAAUGGUUAGAAAAAGUGACAUGUCUUUGAUGAAUCGAUGAUGGAAUAUGCCUCACAAGACAAGUGCACUAUGGUAUUUUGUCCUUGUCUUGUUUUGACACCUGUUGUUUGUCCUUUUUCUAGUUUUUAAAUUUUAGUUUUUGGCUUUUUAUUAUUAUCUGGUUCUCAUCAAUGUCCUACUGUUUUGCCACUAGUUUUCAAUGGGGUCACACCAUCUCUUUAUGUGUUUCCCACAGUAUUUUUUGACGUACUUUGGUAUUCCAUAAGAAUUUUCGCAUUAGAUAAUACACAUCAUAUGAUUGAGCAAAAAAUGUAAGAGAAUAAAACAUUGCAAGGCAUAGGCAUUUCCAGUUGCAAACAAAGUUUCUUUUCCAUCAAUUGAUGGCAAGACAAUAAUCCGCGGAUUGCAUAUAAUAUAUAUGUGUAUGUGUAGCCGGUGCUAUAAUUCUGACAUGCAUCCUCCUCGGCCUACGUUGGUAGGUGCUUACAUAUGCUCAUAUAUUCACAUAUGAGUAGAACCAGAAAUAAAACCGAGAAAGCAGAGCUGCUGACAAAUGUGAACUAACAUGGCAUGUAUAUCGGACUUGCACUUUAGGCCUUGCCGGAUUCCUCGCAGCCUGGUGGCCUGAAGGCAAUGAAGCUGACGCACUGCACCUGGCGCAUGUUGUCGAAGCCAAUGACGCGGACAUAGGCGUCAGGGUACUCCUUCUUGACCUCCUCCACCUCAUUGAGCACCUGCGUGGCGUCAGUGCACCCGAACAUAGGCAGCUUCCACAUUGUCCAGUAUCGACCGUCGUAGUACCCGGGGGAGCUGUUGUGCUCACGGAAGACGAAGCCAACCUUGCUAAACUCGAGGCAGGGCACCCACUUGGAGCGGAUCAGGUAGUCGACCUGCUUAAGGAGGGCCUCCGUGGAGAGGGGUGGCAAGUAAGACAGGGUCUCGAACUUCUUGAUGCCCUCAAUCGGCCACACCUGAAUAGAUGGAAUUAACACAAUUGAUCAACACUUAGUGCUUAAACAAAGACCUAGCCAUAAUAAGGCAAAAAUUGCUCCUUAUGUCCAUACAUUUGUGGGGGGUCUCCACACGCAAGAAAGCACAAGGGCACCUCUUUCUUAUCGGUAGUGUAUGGGCAUUAAAAUUAAUAUUAUCUAGUACACAUUGGAAUAAAAUCGAUUUCCAUUCACAAAGUUUAUGAGUUAAAUAUUCCUACACAUGUGAACCUGCUUACGGACUACAUUGUGAAGCACAGUUUGGCCUGGCAUGUGGGCGUCCUAAGGAUAGCUUUGCCUAUGUGCAGUGAAAUACCCGAUAAAUUAAUCAAUUGUGGCGACAAAAACAUUCAUGCCAGCUUAGUGUCCGUCAUCCUUCGCUAAAAAAAAUCAAAAAGGAGGAUAACUCUAGCCUCUGCAUCAAGUGAUAUGCACACUGUCAUUUUUAUUAUAUUAUUCAACAGAGUCUAACAAAACAAAUACGAUUUUAAACCAAAGCCAUCUUCGAGACGAACAAAAUCGCUACACCUACAAGUACGAUGAUGUGCCUUAACCGCAUCAUCCUUCGCAAAAACAAUAUUCAGCUUUCAUACCUGCAUGCAUCUGAUCCUUCCGCCAUUGCUGACGCUGCUGAGGCCGGCGCUGCCGGAGCGGCGGCUGAUGGGAAGGCCGGCGGUCGACUUAAGCCCCUGGAAGGGCGCGACGGUGGUGGCGGAAGACGCCAUCACGGCUGGGGCCAUGGUGGAGUACGUGAAUUGCUAGGUGGGGAGGCGAUAGCUAGCUAGGCCACACUUGACUUGAGCCCUCCUCAUGCCGCUCCAGUAUAUAUCAGCAUAUGCGCAGCGCCGCUCCUUUCAAACGAGAUUUCGAAGGGGUGGUCGUCGUUUGCUUGCUGCAAGGCGCCUUAUCCCUCUGGAUCAGCGGAAGAGGGGUGCAAAAUCAAAAUGAAUGCCACGGAAAGACCCCAAAACGUCAUAUAGAUCACCAUUGAUCAUCCAAUUCUAAGGUCACUGCAUUCGUAAUGAACAAAUUCUUUGGCGUGAAACUAAACCACGCCAACACUAAAAUUCAUGAAGGGAAGUCAUCCAUACUCGUAUGUUUCAUUAUAUGAGACGGUAAUUAUUUCUUCAUUUAAAGUGUUGAUAUGGCUCCACCAUGGUAUUAGACGUGGCAUUUUCCUAUAGGAUGUGGUAUCUUCAUUUUUUUUCUAAUUUAGUAAAACUUCUUCAUAUAGGUCUCACAAUCUGAAAAUUCUCAUUCGCACGCGCGCGUUGGGUAGGUGAAGCGCUCCGCACAAUAAGUCAGGUUCCGGCCGCGCGCUAUAUUCCUUUCAUAAUUUUCACAUGUCGUUUAAUUAAGAAUGGUGGCCCCAUAUGGUAUAGCAGCCCAUUGCCAUGGAAUUAAAUGUGUUGGGCCCACCCCACCUGAUACGCGCAUUCGCGGAAGGGCUAGUUGUGGUGGCAUCAUGGUUUUCACUUUUACUGAUAUAUCUUUGAAUUACACCAAAUUUCAGUAGACAACGAAAUAUUUACCUUUCGGCCAAAAUAUAUCAGUCAUUUCAAUUCUACACAUAAAUUCAAAUAUUUUUCAAAAUAUUUUCAUAUAUUUUUUCACUUUCGGGUGAAUAUUUUGGUCUUUUGGUCAAAAUGCGAAUUGACACUACUGGAACUUAGUAAUUUUGGUAGGUACUCAAAUGAAAAAACAUGGGUGCCAUGGCAUGCAGGCCCACCCCGUGAUCAAUAUAUAAUCUCCCACUAAAUUUCAGGUGGGGGCUAGUUUCCCUACAAUAAUGAAUAAUCCAAGGGAACGGAAAUAUCACUGCACACUUUCCUAAUAGGGAUGUGGACAGCGAGUCGGAAAUCAACCACGCGGAAGCGCGUGCGAUUUAGCACCCAAAAAAUAAUUCAAGUUAAUAUAAUUUUAGCCUGGCGUGCGUGUACCUCCACAAUGUAAUGGGCUACUGUUGUUUGCAACUAAUUGUUUCGUAAUGUUAUGACUGAAUAUGGAUUUUCUCAUGAGACAUAUAGGGUUUCUGCCUCUUAGGCAGGUUUUAUGACAAAAUUGAUAGUUUCGUCAUGGAAGGACGUUCAUCGUAGAAGGCCAAAAUAUUACUAGUACAAGGUAUCUUGGGGCUCAUCAAUUGGAUAUGUAAUUUGCACAUAUUUGUGCCCUCAACACGUUCUUUGGUUUAUUGGAAUUUCUGUAAUACUGCAAAAAAAAGUAUCUAAUUGCAGUGUAAAAUGGUUAGAAAAAGUGACAUGUCUUUGAUGAAUCGAUGCAGGAAUAUGGCUCACAUGACAAGUGCAUUAUGGUAGUUUGUCCUUGUCUUGUUACGACACCUUUGUUUGUCCUUUUUCUAGUUUUUUAUUAUUAUUUUUGUUUUUUUAUUAUCUGUUUCUCGUCAAUUCCCUAUUGUUUUGCCAUUAGUUUUCAAGGGGGUCUCACCAUCUUUUAUGUGUUUCUCCACAGUAUUUUUUGAAGUACUUCGGUAUUCCAUAACAAUUUCCGUAUUAGACAAUACACAACAUAUGAUUGAGCAAGAAAUGCAUGAGAAGAAAACAAUGGAAGACAUAGGCAUUUCCGGCUGCAAAGAAAGUAACCUUUCCAUCGAUUGAUGGCAAGACACUAAUCCGUUGAUUGCAUAUAAUAUAUAUGUAUAUGUAUAGCCGGUGCUAUAAUUCUCAUAUGCAUCCUCCUCGACCUACAUUGGUAGGUGCUUACAUACAUAUGCUCGUAUAUUCACAUAUGAGUAGAACGAGAAGUAAAACUGAGAAAGCAGAGCCGCCGACAAAUGUGACUAACAUGACAUGUAUAUCAGUUACUUCAACUUGCACUUUAGGCCUUGCCGGAUUCCUCGCAGCCUGGUGGCCUGAAGGCAAUGAAGCUGACGCAUUGCACCUGGCGCAUGUUGUCGAAGCCGAUGACGCGGACAUAUGCAUCAGGGUACUCCUUCUUAACCUCCUCCACCUCAUUGAGCACCUGUGUGGCGUCGGUGCAACCGAACAUAGGCAGUUUCCAC
RNAcentral lists this long non-coding RNA (8277 nucleotides) under Triticum aestivum (bread wheat). RNAcentral describes it as "long non-coding RNA (TAES_LNC023561)". The record is from RNAcentral. Lineage: Eukaryota; Viridiplantae; Streptophyta; Magnoliopsida; Poales; Poaceae.